Molecule: ribosomal RNA, 448 nt
Filed under: uncultured bacterium
Lineage: Bacteria
Description: bacterial SSU rRNA
Rfam family: Bacterial small subunit ribosomal RNA
Source: RNAcentral
UGGGGAAUAUUGGACAAUGGGCGCAAGCCUGAUGCAGCGACGCCGCGUGGGUGAAGAAGGUUUUCGGAUCGUAAAACCCUUUUCUGUGUGACGAGAACGGACGGUAGCACAGGAAUAAGUCUCGGCUAACUACGUGCCAGCAGCCGCGGUAAAACGUAGGAGACAAACGUUAUCCGGAGUUACUGGGCGUAAAGGGCGUGCAGGCGGCAGUCUAAGUCUGGCGUGAAAUAUCCCGGCUUAACCGGGGAAGGUCGUCGGAUACUGGGCAGCUAGAGGGCGGUAGAGGCGUGUGGAAUUCCGGGUGUAGUGGUGAAAUGCGUAGAGAUCCGGAGGAACACCAGUGGCGAAGGCGACACGCUGGGCCGCACCUGACGCUAAGACGCGACAGCAUGGGGAGCAAACAGGAUUAGAUACCCUUGUAGUCCCUGAGCGGGCUGGCAAGGCGCAU